Molecule: ribosomal RNA, 253 nt
Filed under: uncultured bacterium
Lineage: Bacteria
Description: partial 16S ribosomal RNA
Rfam family: Bacterial small subunit ribosomal RNA
Source: RNAcentral
UACGAAGGGGGCUAGCGUUGUUCGGAAUCACUGGGCGUAAAGCGCACGUAGGCGGAUUUUUAAGUCAGGGGUGAAAUCCUGGAGCUCAACUCCAGAACUGCCUUUGAUACUGGAGAGCUAGAGUCCGGAAGAGGUGAGUGGAACUGCGAGUGUAGAGGUGAAAUUCGUAGAUAUUCGCAAGAACACCAGUGGCGAAGGCGGCUCACUGGUCCGGUACUGACGCUGAGGUGCGAAAGCGUGGGGAGCAAACAGG